UGUAAUUAGAACAUAUUAUGGGGAAAAAAAAAAAAGCAAAGAAAUUACAACAAAAGGCCAAAAAGGAGGAAUGAAAAAUGCAAUUGCUCACCACUAGCUGAUCCAUGCCCAUCAAGUCCUAGAGUUACGGUAGCCCCCACAGAACUGCGCCCCUAAUUUUGUUGUACAGCACAAAGGUGCACUGAGAAAAGGCUGAAAAGGAACCAGUUUGGAUAAAGGAGGCAUUGCCUCUUUGCCAGAAACCCCCAAGGCCUGGGUUGUGAGUGAGUCCCCUUCUUCACAGGACACAGGCUACAGCACCAGGUCUCCCCAUGGAGUCGCUGGCAGGCAGAGGGGCUCAGGCUGUGUAGCCGUGUAAAAGGAACAACAGUUCAGGGCUGAUUUACAAUUAGCAAGCACGUGCAAAGAGAAUGAGCUAAAGGGCUUUGGAAAAGGCUGGUGAUGUGUUCUGGUGCCAUGGGAGCUGUCAGUCAAUGGGCUAAAGCUGGUUGGAGUCGAGGUCCAGUAGGGUUUUGCAGGGAGGAUACUGUCCCUGAGAUAAAGACAGAGGCAGCCUGUGCUGCGGUGUUUGACUAGCUGUGAAUAAAAGUUGGGGCUCUACACAUGAAAAAGACGCAGCAGGGGCUGAGGCAGGGCCCUGCUGAUGAGAGCCUCUUAGUGUGGGCAAGGCUCAUGCAACCACAGCAAGCCCACAGGAAAGGUCCCAGCUGCACUGCAAGCCUUUGCCCCACCGUCCCCAGCUUACAGCAAAGCAGACACCUGAAGCAGACGCUGCUCCCCAAAAGCAGCACCCCAAAAGAUGCUGGGGCAGCCACCAUGGGCAAGGCUGUCUCCUUCUGGCCUUGCCAUCCUGCUGCUGGUGAUCUGUGCUGGAGUGACCACCCAGGACAUCUGCAGCUCUCCAGGAUUGCAGGAAAAUGGAGGUAACGACCAGACGCCAGUCCUGUACCUCAACGCUUCCAGUGCCCAGGAGGGGGAAAAAGUGCUGCUUCAAUGUACCAUUGAUGAGCAGUUUCCUGCUAAGCGAAUUGUCUUCUGCAAGAAUGGGCAGGAGGAGUUCAGCCUGAAAGCCCAGAAUGGCAGGCUCAUCUAUGCUCUGGUCCUGAACAUCACCUCAAGAAGUGCUGGCACGUACACAUGUGGGUACCAGCAGAGGAAUGACAGCAACUGGGUGAGGAGCUCUGCUCUCAGUGCUCCCCAGACCCUGUCCAUGGCAGGUGCAACUGCUGGUGAGGCCACCCAGGACAUCCACAGCUCCCCAGCUCCCCAUGCCCGGAUCCUACACACCCUCCCCAUAGGCAUGGUGCUAGCAGUGGCAGCCGUCGGCCUCAUCCUCCUGGCUGCAGGCAGCUGCUUUGCCAUCAGGAAAGGUGCCUGCAGAGGGAGAUGCCCAAGGCAGCAGCACGUUGACAGCCCACAGACGGAAGACACCAACUAUGGUGACAUCCAGUACUCCACCAUCUCGACGGGACAGGCCUCUUACCAUGCAACAGAUGAACAACACCACAACGUAAGGCAUGGUGACCCACACCCAGACCCAAUAGCACUGCCACAGGGCAAGGGCACUGGAGCCUCACCCACAGCUGCCUUUGCUCUCUUCAAGAGGGCUCCUGCAGCUGUAAGGUGGGGCUGGAGUUUGCAAUUUGAACUCCAUUGAGAUUUGUUGUCACAGGGAAAGGCUGUGAUUGUCUAGCCAAGACGAUGUAGGAAUCACACCUCUACCUACAAUACAUUAAUAAUUCUAAAGUAUAUGGGCUAUACCAAAUCAUACUGUGAAUGUAUUUUCUCUGAAUAAAAGAAAAUCUCUCACUGUGCUUAGUGGAUGAUGUGUAAACCUAAGUUGUACUAUAAAGUCGCAGGGGUGCUCUUCUACCCACCCACAGAGAUGCACAUUUGCACCUGCAGGGACAGAUAGCACUGCCGGGAUGUUCUCACAUGAGUGUCCCAAUAGGUGUGUGCACUACAGAUGUGGUUUUGGUUAGAUGACAAAUAAACAUCUCUGACUUGACCUGAGGUGCAGGUGGGAAUCACUCUCCUGAGGAUGAUGGCCCUGCCGGGAAGUUGGACACACUGCCUGGCAAGACAAGGGGACAGGCUGAGAGUCCACGGUGCACCCAGCUCCUUCCCAGAAUGAGCCUCAGUCGUCAGGAGUGAGGAACAGCCUUGCAGUCCGUAGAGUACCACGGUACCAGGGUUCCACGCUUCAGCCCAUGGAGGAGACCACAGUGGAGCAGGUGGCCCUGCACCGAUGGAGGCUGUGGCCUGUGGAAGACCCCUGCUGGAGCAGAUUCCGGGCUGGACCAAGGAGAGGAGACUACACAGGAGCAGGUGACCAGGCAGGAGCUGCUGCCCGUGGGGGAGCCAGGUUGGAGCAGUUUGCUCCUGAGGGAUGGACCCCAUGAUACGGAUCCAUAUCUUGAGCAGUUCUGGAAGAGCUGUAGCCUGUGAGCAGCCCAUGCCGUAUCAGUUCACCAAGGACUGUAUCCCGUGGGAGGGACCCCACAGCACAGGGGACAAGAGUGACCGAGAAGGAGCGGCAGAGAACAAGUGCUGUAGACUGACCAUAACCCCCAUUCCCCCCAUCCCCCUGCACCACACAGGGGGAGGAGCUGGAAGAGGGUGGAUGGGGGGGAAGGUUCUUUUGGUUUCUUUCCUUUGUUUCUCACUUCUCUAGCUUGCUAGCAAAAGGUAAUAAAUCUUACUAUCUCCCUAUGCUGAGCCUGUUUUGCCCUCCACGAUAAUUACUGUGCCAUAUCCUCAAUCUAAUCUCAACCCCGGAGCCCUUUUCAUUGUUUUGUCUCCCCAUUCCUCUUUCAGAAGGGGGAGUGAGAGAGCAGUUGUGGUGGAGCUCGGCCGCCCACCUGGAUAAAACCACCACAGAUGUGCUCAUACAUGUUCCAGUUGGUGUGUGUAUUGCAGAUGUGGUUUUGCUGUGGUGACAAAUAAACAUCUCUGAAUUUGUGUUCCUGAUGGCA
Molecule: non-coding RNA, 2975 nt
Organism: Anas platyrhynchos (mallard)
Lineage: Eukaryota; Metazoa; Chordata; Aves; Anseriformes; Anatidae
Source: RefSeq, a predicted model, not a curated record